RNAcentral lists this unclassified non-coding RNA (229 nucleotides) under Hevea brasiliensis (rubber tree). Lineage: Eukaryota; Viridiplantae; Streptophyta; Magnoliopsida; Malpighiales; Euphorbiaceae. The record is from RNAcentral.
GAAAAAAAACAAAAUAAAAUAAAUUACAUUAAACAAUCAAAAAUUGCUAAAAAACAACAAUCAAUAAUCAAUUAAUAAAUAUUGGUUUCAUUACAGACUUGAAUCUCAACAAAUAAUAAGAAGAAGAAAUUAAGAAGAAGAUGUUUGAACCUCAACAGACAAUGUGAUGCUAUUUUAAGAUGAACAGACGAAGAGGAGUAGAUGGCAAGGGAGAAAAAGAGAAGGCGAC